UACAGAGGGUGCAAGCGUUAAUCGGAAUUACUGGGCGUAAAGCGUGCGCAGGCGGUCUUGCAAGACAGAUGUGAAAUCCCCGGGCUUAACCUGGGAACUGCAUUUGUGACUGCAAGGCUGGAGUACGGUAGAGGGGGAUGGAAUUCCGCGUGUAGCAGUGAAAUGCGUAGAUAUGCGGAGGAACACCGAUGGCGAAGGCAAUCCCCUGGACCUGUACUGACGCUCAUGCACGAAAGCGUGGGGAGCAAACAGG
This 253-nucleotide ribosomal RNA is filed under the name uncultured bacterium. Its description in RNAcentral is "partial 16S ribosomal RNA". It matches the Rfam family "Bacterial small subunit ribosomal RNA", at positions 524 to 776 of the family's 1533-position model. The record is from RNAcentral.